GGGGUUGUGGCUCGGUGGUAGAGUGCUUGCCUAGCUUGAAUGAGGCUCUGGGUUCAAUCCUCAGUACCACA
Molecule: transfer RNA, 71 nt
Filed under: Marmota monax (woodchuck)
Lineage: Eukaryota; Metazoa; Chordata; Mammalia; Rodentia; Sciuridae
Description: tRNA.Ala
Source: RNAcentral